GUGUGCCUUUGAUGUUCAUGUUUAAUUUAUGGAGAAACUCUGACCUAAUUUUAUCUCUCAAGAUCAGCCCUUAAAAUCUCACAUGCCCACCUCUUCUGCAACAGUCCCUGUCCCUAGAGGACUUGAAUAGUUUUCAUUCUGGCCUCCUGUCUCAUGAGUGCAGUUUAUUUUGAUUGUCAUCUUCUCCUGGAUAUAAAGAAAUCCUGGUGAUUUUUAUUUUCCACCUCAAUUUUCAUGAUCACCAUUAUUCUACUUAAACAAAGAAGCUGGCAAAUCCAAAAUUUGCAGUUCAAGUCCAGAGGUCAUCAGGCUGGAGGUCCAGGAAACAACCAGUGUUGCAGCUCAAGUCUGAAGCCUCUCUGCUGACAGGCUUCUUCUUGCUCAGAGUAGGCUUCAAAAUGGUGAGAAGAUAAUGAGAAAAGGAAAGAAUCUAUGGAUAAGAAGAAUUCUGAAUUAUUUUGGAUUAGCCAAACUCACUAUAAACUCUACUAAUCUUAUCAUAUCUGGAUACUUGAAACAUCCCACAGAACAUCAAGUGGUCUGCUAUAUUAAAGACAUAAUGCAGAGCAAAAAAGACUAGCACACUAGAAGUCUUGGAAGAGAAGCACUCUGGAAUCCUAGAAGAACUACUUAAACUUCUGCAGAAGGAAGUGGAUCUUAGCAACAUAAGAAUCAACUAUGGUAGUACCUGUGAUGCCCCCUCCUGAAAAAAGCCAGCACUAAUUUGAAGUGACGAAGCUCAUAGGGCACAGAAUUUAAGGAGAUACACCCUCUCAAGGUCAUAUGAAUGAGCAUUUCCUUGAAUUUUUUCCUUAGGCACUUCAGUCGAUUCACCCUAGUCCCUGCUUGUUCCAGAAUUGUCUUUCAAAAUGGAAGAUUUAUCCCUUAGCUACUGGGAGUGUUGUUAGAAGAAAAUCUUUAUCUAAGCAAUCCUUAGGAUGGGCUUUGGUUGAAAAAGUGGCCAUCCAAAAGUCAUAACCGCUACCAUUGGCAGCCCAUAACCCAAAACUACUGAUCAACUAAAAAAUGUAAAUGCCUGGCUUCCUCUCCCCAAAUCAGGACAAUUCUGUUGGGCCAUCUCAACAUCAAAGCUUACUGUGAGGUGGCUGAAAGCUUCACUGGGACUGCAUCACAGCUCAACAUUUUCUUCAUCUUAAUACUGCUUCCUUACCCUCUGCACAUGUGUUCAUCACAAGAGAAAUUUCUAAUUACUUUCCUUUUCACUAACCUGUAUUUCAGAGUCUACUUCUUGGAGGAAAUCUUGUGAAACCAAAAAUAAAUAACAAAUACAUUAUGUUGUUCUGUUAAUAAUUUUCAGGAGUUUAAGGCGA
Molecule: long non-coding RNA, 1331 nt
Filed under: Homo sapiens (human)
Lineage: Eukaryota; Metazoa; Chordata; Mammalia; Primates; Hominidae
Description: HSALNT0108033
Source: RNAcentral